RNAcentral lists this ribosomal RNA (490 nucleotides) under uncultured bacterium. Its description in RNAcentral is "partial 16S ribosomal RNA". It matches the Rfam family "Bacterial small subunit ribosomal RNA", at positions 30 to 507 of the family's 1533-position model. The record is from RNAcentral.
AUUGAACGCUGGCGGCAGGCCUAACACAUGCAAGUCGAACGGUAACAGGAAGAAGCUUGCUUCUUUGCUGACGAGUGGCGGACGGGUGAGUAAUGUCUGGGAAACUGCCUGAUGGAGGGGGAUAACUACUGGAAACGGUAGCUAAUACCGCAUAACGUCGCAAGACCAAAGAGGGGGACCUUCGGGCCUCUUGCCAUCGGAUGUGCCCAGAUGGGAUUAGCUAGUAGGUGGGGUAACGGCUCACCUAGGCGACGAUCCCUAGCUGGUCUGAGAGGAUGACCAGCCACACUGGAACUGAGACACAGUCCAGACUCCUGCGGGAGGCAGCAGUGGGGAAUAUUGCACAAUGGGCGCAAGCCUGAUGCAGCCAUGCCGCGUGUAUGAAGAAGGCCUUCGGGUUGUAAAGUACUUUCAGCGGGGAGGAAGGGAGUAAAGUUAAUACCUUUACUCAUUGACGUUACCCGCAGAAGAAGCACCGGCUAACUCCGUG